AACGAACGCUGGCGGCGUGCCUAACACAUGCAAGUCGAACGAGAAAGGGGCUUCGGCUCCGAGUAAAGUGGCGCACGGGUGAGUAACACGUGGGUAACCUGCCUCUAAGAUUGGGAUAACUCGUCGAAAGAUGAGCUAAUACCGAAUAAGACCACAGUUCCCGCGGGAACAGGGGUCAAAGGUAGCCUCUGCUUGCAAGCUAUCACUUAGAGAUGGGCCUGCGCACCAUUAGCUAGUUGGUAGGGUAACGGCCUACCAAGGCAAAGAUGGUUAGCUGGUCUGAGAGGAUGAUCAGCCACACUGGAACUGAGACACGGUCCAGACUCCUACGGGAGGCAGCAGUGAGGAAUAUUGCGCAAUGGGCGAAAGCUUGACGCAGCAACGCCGCGUGAGUGAUGAAGGCCUUCGGGUCGUAAAGCUCUGUCGGGAGGAACGAAUGCUCCUGAGGUUAACAGCCUCGGGAGGUGACGGUACCUUCAAAGGAAGCACCGGCUAACUCUGU
Molecule: ribosomal RNA, 502 nt
Filed under: uncultured bacterium
Lineage: Bacteria
Description: partial 16S ribosomal RNA
Rfam family: Bacterial small subunit ribosomal RNA
Source: RNAcentral